GAUGAACGCUGGCGGCGUGCUUAACACAUGCAAGUCGAACGAGAAGUGAAGACGGAAACCUUCGGGCGGAAGGCUUUAUUUCGAGUGGCGGACGGGUGAGUAACGCGUGGGUAACCUGCCUCAUACAGGGGGAUAACAGUUGGAAACGACUGUUAAUACCGCAUAAGACCACAGCACCGCAUGGUGCGGGGGUAAAAACUCCGGUGGUAUGAGAUGGGCCCGCGUUCGAUUAGCCAGUUGGCGGGGUAACGGCCCACCAAAGCGACGAUCGAUAGCCGAUCUGAGAGGAUGACCGGCCACAUUGGGACUGAGACACGGCCCAAACUCCUACGGGAGGCAGCAGUGGGGAAUAUUGCACAAUGGGGGAAACCCUGAUGCAGCGACGCCGCGUGAGUGAAGAAGUAUUUCGGUAUGUAAAGCUCUAUCAGCAGGGAAGAAAAUGACGGUACCUGAGUAAGAAGCCCCGGCUAACUACGUG
This 478-nucleotide ribosomal RNA is filed under the name uncultured bacterium. Its description in RNAcentral is "partial 16S ribosomal RNA". It matches the Rfam family "Bacterial small subunit ribosomal RNA", at positions 28 to 507 of the family's 1533-position model. The record is from RNAcentral.